AGUUCUGCCGCCCAUCGGUGCCCUUUUCGAUCCUAAGCAAUCUUUGCGUCAAUCUUCGCCACCUUCGCCGGCUCCCCGCCUAUGUCGGGCCAAUUUAGGUUGGUUCCAAAACCUCUCUUGUCAUCGCUGUUGUUCCUUCCUCUUCUUGCUUCGUUUAUUCAGCUUCCGAGGGUUUAUUCGCAAUCUCUCCCGAUCUUUCGGGAUUUCCCUCUUUCUUUCCCUUACUGCUGGCAUGGACGUAGGAGUUGCCCGAGCGGCCCUCACCGUCGACGUCCCUUACGAUGCCGAGCCUUCAGUCCUUCGAGCCCUUUCGAGGAGUUCUCCCGCCGAGGCUUCUGCCCCGAAGGUCG
Molecule: long non-coding RNA, 350 nt
Filed under: Elaeis guineensis (African oil palm)
Lineage: Eukaryota; Viridiplantae; Streptophyta; Magnoliopsida; Arecales; Arecaceae
Description: long non-coding RNA (EGUI_LNC055386)
Source: RNAcentral